UAGGAUGCACAACUAACUUAUAGCUAUCUUU
RNAcentral lists this non-coding RNA (31 nucleotides) under Homo sapiens (human). Lineage: Eukaryota; Metazoa; Chordata; Mammalia; Primates; Hominidae. The record is from RNAcentral.